CCUACGGGGGGCAGCAGUGAGGAAUAUUGGUCAAUGGGCGAGAGCCUGAACCAGCCAAGUCGCGUGAAGGAUGAAGGAUCUAUGGUUUGUAAACUUCUUUUAUAUGGGAAUAAAGUGAGGAACGUGUUCCUUUUUGUAUGUACCAUAUGAAUAAGCAUCGGCUAACUCCGUGCAAGCAGCCGCGGUAAUACGGAGGAUGCGAGCGUUAACCGGAUUUAUUGGGUUUAAAGGGUGCGUAGGUGGUUAAUUAAGUCAGCGGUGAAAGUUUGUGGCUCAACCAUAAAAUUGCCGUGGAAACUGGUUGACUAGAGUAUAGUAGAGGUAGGCGGAAUGCGUGGUGUAGCGGUGAAAUGCAUAGAUAUUACGCAGAACUCCGAUUGUGAAGGCAGCUUACUAAACUAUAACUGACACUGAAGCACGAAAGCGUGGGGAUCAAACAGGAUUAGAUACCCUAGUAGUC
RNAcentral lists this ribosomal RNA (460 nucleotides) under uncultured bacterium. RNAcentral describes it as "partial 16S ribosomal RNA". It matches the Rfam family "Bacterial small subunit ribosomal RNA", at positions 338 to 795 of the family's 1533-position model. The record is from RNAcentral.